Molecule: long non-coding RNA, 579 nt
Organism: Passer montanus (Eurasian tree sparrow)
Lineage: Eukaryota; Metazoa; Chordata; Aves; Passeriformes; Passeridae
Exons: 3
Source: RefSeq, a predicted model, not a curated record
ACCCCGGCGCCGCCCAGCAGGAAGGCGGCGCGGGUGUCGGCGUCGGCCUCGCCGCAUCCCUCCUGGUAGCGCAGGCAGGCGUCCACGACGCGGCGGGCGGCCCGCAGGUUGAGCUGCCCUGUUCUGUAUGGACUCCACUUACAAAGCUACACCAAAAGGUUUCCACCAUGCUGUUUGUAAAGCCAGCCCUUCAAGUGCCACAGCAUUGUUUUCAUCAUUUCUGCAAAGAAGAGGCUCAACAGUACUUUUUAGAAUCACAACUAGUUCAGAAGGGUUUACCUGCAUUUGCUGCCUUCUCUUGCUGCUCUGUUCCCUUGUGUCAGAGCCAAAUUAUGAAGCAAAGCCAUCAGCUCUCCAAGCCAGGCUCUGAUACCCAGUUGGAUGAGAAGCCUCUCCUCCGAAAGGGGUGCUGGGCUCAGUCAAUAGUCACUGCAGUAGAAGCUUUGUGCUUGGAGUGCAGCUGCUGAUGCUGGCAGGGCUGGACUGGUGCCUCUCUGGAUGCCCCACAUUUGGGUGUUUGUUAUUCACUGCACAGUGACUUUCACAGAUGUCAGUGUUUGUUACCUGCUGGGGAGAAAU